RNAcentral lists this ribosomal RNA (265 nucleotides) under uncultured bacterium. RNAcentral describes it as "partial 16S ribosomal RNA". It matches the Rfam family "Bacterial small subunit ribosomal RNA", at positions 57 to 305 of the family's 1533-position model. The record is from RNAcentral.
GCAAGUCGAGCGAGCAGAUUAUGAAUGAUCCUUCGGGUGAUUGAUUGCUUGGAAAUCGGCGGACGGGUGAGUAACGCGUGGGUAACCUGCCCCAUACACAGGGAUAGCCAUUGGAAACGAUGAUUAAUACCUGAUAACACAUAUUUAACACAUGUUAUUUAUGUCAAAGAUUUAUCGGUAUGGGAUGGACCCGCGGCUGAUUAGCUAGUUGGUAAGGUAACGGCUUACCAAGGCGACGAUCAGUAGCCGACCGGAGAGGGUGAUC